UACGAAGGGGGGCUAGCGUUGUUCGGAUUUACUGGGCGUAAAGCGCACGUAGGCGGAUUUUUUAAGUCAGGGGGUGAAAUCCCCGGGGCUCAACCCCCGGAACUGCCUUUUGAUACUGGAAGUCUUUGAGUAUGGUAGAGGUGAGUGGAAUUCCCGAGUGUAGAGGUGAAAUUCGUAGAUAUUCGGAGGAACACCAGUGGCGAAGGCGGCUCACUGGACCAUUACUGACGCUGAGGUGCGAAAGCGUGGGGAGCAAACAGG
RNAcentral lists this ribosomal RNA (261 nucleotides) under uncultured bacterium. RNAcentral's name for it is "partial 16S ribosomal RNA". It matches the Rfam family "Bacterial small subunit ribosomal RNA", at positions 524 to 776 of the family's 1533-position model. The record is from RNAcentral.